AGAAAGCCUGUGUGCAGUGGACUUCAGUGUCAUAGGUCUUGGACUCUUUUUGCGCUGACUGGUGCACGGGGAAUUGCUGGACUAAAUGACAGACUCCUUUAGGAUCUGAUUUUUUUUUCCCUUUGUUAAAGAAAAAUGCCUUCCUUGAGUGGAAAAGUGCAGACUGUCUUGGGCCCUGUGGAGCCAGACUGUCUU
This 195-nucleotide long non-coding RNA is filed under the name Serinus canaria (Common canary). RNAcentral's name for it is "lncRNA (ENSSCAG00000011307.1)". The record is from RNAcentral. Lineage: Eukaryota; Metazoa; Chordata; Aves; Passeriformes; Fringillidae.